AAGUGCGUUUUUAUCAUAUGAUCUGUUUUAAAAGGAUGUAUCUAAAAAGACACAUGUUUAACACACUUCUUAAAAAGUGCGUCUUUAACAACCGUUUAGCAAAUGUUGUACAGAAAUUGAACAAGAAACAAAAUUGUUGCAGGCUCUAACAAUUUAUUUACAUCAAAUGAUUAAACAUAGACAUAUAUCUCAGUAACCUGUAAUAAUAUAAGGGGCAGUUUGAAUAAUUACUGGUUGUCCAUAUUAACCUGUUUAAUGUUUACAUACUUUAUCAUACAAUUUCAAUGCAUACCCUAUUGCUUACGUUUUAAUCUCAAACAUUUCUAAAAAAUUCCACCUAAAUCAGACUGUGUGUAACUAAUUAAAAAUAUUGAAAGUGUCAAAAGUAUUAUGUGGGCUUGAUAGUAUCAAUUAUAUUUCCUCAACAUAAAUAAGUAUUUGAACUUUCUUAUACUGAUAUUUAUACCCUAAUACAAUUAAUGUCUACCACAUUGACCAUAAACAUACAUUUUAAAAGGCAAUUAAAAUAAUAUUUAUACUAUUAAUAUUAUUUGCUAAAACCAUUCAGCAUGUUAUAUUUAAAUAUUUACAAUUAAAUAUAAUGUGUUAAGGGUGCUGUGUAUUAUUCAAUAAAUAUUUUGGUGUUGAAAUGACUGCCUUAUCAGUAUUUCUCAAAUUAUGCAAUUUUUGGCUUAGACACAGCAUGGUAUCAGAUAAGAGAAUAGCCAGUCCCUAUCAGUCCUCCAUCUAAGCCUAACUAAGGGGUGUUGAUAUACUUUUGAUUUGUUCAGGCACCAUUUAUUUGAGAACCACAGAUAGGAAGUUAUUUUUUUAAAACAAGCAGCAUCAGCAACUGACUUUAAGCUAGAAUUAAGACUUAUUAUUUUAGUGUAAAAUGUCUUGAAAUACUUUCAGCAUGAAGUAUUGUGUGAUGAAAAAAAUGUGAAUUUACUACAAUGUGUAAAUCAACAAUAAAGGAGAUUAAAAGUGGGUGGUUAAAGACAUAUAAAGUGAUAUGGUCUAGUUCAACAACUGCCUGUAUUUUUGGAAUACUGAAGAACAGUCUGUUGUAACAGGUUAAACCCCAUGGAAAGAAUGUGCAUCAUCGCAUCGCCUGCCAAAAAAGGGAGCAAAAAAGAGACUACCUGAUGUAUGGACUUGAAUACCAGGUUUUACCCUGCACAAGCUGGCCGACAUGAGGAGAACAGGAGUGGGAAAACCGCACCCUCUUCUUGACCAAGAAAAGCUGGAUUUGUUUAGAGGACCUGAUCAAAUGAGAUCAUGCACGAGACGCAUCGCGCAAAGGCCAUGACAGUAUAAUUGUUGCAAAGAAGUUUGACCGGCUAGUGGCAGACUUGGAGAGAAAGAUGAGAGCUGCACUCCACUGCCUCAAAGAAAUGCUGAAAGGCCUUGAUUGAUAUGCAUCUUUCUUAUGUAUAUAGCUGUUCCUGUGUAUAUACUGUACAUGUUAUUAUAGUAUGCUAUUAUUUUUUGUUUAUUUAUAAUCAAAUUAUGUUUAUAUUUAUUUCAUCAAAUUGCCAUUGAUAUUUAAUUACUCAUGUAUGUUAAAAAAUGUUGGUGUACAUUAAAGUAUAAAAUUGAAUUAUCUUGUAAUUAUUAAAAUACACAAAUAUAUAUGUCUAUAUAAUUAUUGGUUUUUAUUGCAUAUCUGAAUUAAAAAAAACUUUUAACAGCAUAUAAUUGAAUCAACUGUUAAGGCAAAAGAUGCACCUUUAACGCACAUGUGUGCUUUUUGUGAGUGCGUUUUUUGCUGCCAUUCAUUUGCGUAAAUUGUGCGUUUUGUGUGGGUUAUAACUGCGCUUAACGUGCGUUAAAUGUGCGCUUUUUGUGAGUUAAAUGUGCGCUUUUUUAUUUAAAAAGCGCACAUUUAACGCACAUAAAAGCGCACAUUUAACACACAUGUGCGCUUUUAUGUGGGUUAUAACUGCGCUUUUCGUGAGUUAAAUGUGCGCUUUUUAAAUAAAAAAGCGCACAUUUAACUCACAAAAAGCGCACAUUUAACGCACUUAAAAGCGCACAUUUUACACACAUAAAUGGCAGUCAAAAACGCACUUAUAAAAAGCGCACGUUUAACGCACAUUUAACGCACAUAAAAGCGCACUUUAACACACAUGUGCGCUUUUAUGUGGGUUAUAACUGCGCUUUUUGUGAGUUAAAUGUGCGCUUUUUAAAUAAAAAAAGCGCACAUUUAACUCACAAAAAGCACACAUUUAACGCACUUAAAAGCGCACAUUUUACACACAUAAAUGGUAGUCAAAAACGCACUUAUAUAAAAAGCGCACGUUUAACGCACAUUUAACGCACAUAAAAGCGCACAUUGAACACACUUAUAAAAAGCACACGUUUAACGCACAUAAAGCGCACAUUUAUCCACAAAAAGCGCACAUUUUCUUGUUUGUUUGUUUUUGUUAAAAACUCACUCGGUAAGAAAAAGCGCACAAAAAACGCAGUGCCAAUACCGCCACGUUUAACGCACGCAAAACGUACGUAAAACGUACAUUUCACACACUUUUUUGAGAAG
Long non-coding RNA from Dreissena polymorpha, 2542 nucleotides. RefSeq lists it as uncharacterized. The record is from RefSeq and is a predicted model, not a curated record. Lineage: Eukaryota; Metazoa; Mollusca; Bivalvia; Myida; Dreissenidae. The transcript has 3 exons.